This 453-nucleotide ribosomal RNA is filed under the name uncultured bacterium. RNAcentral describes it as "bacterial SSU rRNA". It matches the Rfam family "Bacterial small subunit ribosomal RNA", at positions 8 to 507 of the family's 1533-position model. The record is from RNAcentral.
AGAGUUUGAUUCUGGCUCAGAACGAACGCUGGCGGCAUGCCUAACACAUGCAAGUCGAACGAAGCCUUCGGGCUUAGUGGCGCACGGGUGCGUAACACGUGGGAAUCUGCCCUUCGGUUCGGAAUAACAGUUAGAAAUGACUGCUAAUACCGGAUGAUGACGUAAGUCCAAAGAUUUAUCGCCGAAGGAUGAGCCCGCGUAGGACUAGGUAGUUGGUAGGGUAAUGGCCUACCAAGCCGACGAUCCUUAGCUGGUCUGAGAGGAUGAUCAGCCACACUGGGACUGAGACACGGCCCAGACUCCUACGGGAGGCAGCAGUGGGGAAUAUUGGACAAUGGGCGAAAGCCUGAUCCAGCAAUGCCGCGUGAGUGAUGAAGGCCUUAGGGUUAUAAAGCUCUUUUACCAGGGAUGAUAAUGACAGUACCUGGAGAAUAAGCUCCGGCUAACUCCGUG